UGAGUGGAGUAAGUCAGACGCAAAGAGACAGUAUUAGAACAAUACAGAGAUGAUUACCAUGGCACCCGCACAAGGAUGAUAUGCAAGUUCAUGAAGCAUUCCAUAUUUUC
Small nuclear RNA from Choloepus didactylus (southern two-toed sloth), 110 nucleotides. Lineage: Eukaryota; Metazoa; Chordata; Mammalia; Pilosa; Megalonychidae. The record is from RefSeq and is a predicted model, not a curated record.